GUGCAACUGCAGAAGGCUCAUUAAAACAGUUAUAGUUUAUUUGAUGAUAUCUUUUUACAUGGAUAACCCUUGUAACCUAGAGCUAAUACAUGCGUAAAAUCCCGACUUCUGGAAGGGAUGUAUUUAUUAGUCAUAAAACCAAUGCCCAGCAAUGGGUUUUGUGGUGAAUCAUAAUAACUGUCGAAUCGCAUGGACUUGUUCCGGCGAUAGAUCAUUCAAAUUUCUGCCCUAUCAGCUUUCAAUCGUAGUGUAGUGGACUACGAUGGCUUUGACGGGUAACGGAGAAUUAGGGUUCGAUUCCGGAGAAGGAGCCUGAGAGACGGCUACUACAUCUAAGGAAGGCAGCAGGCGCGCAAAUUACCCAAUUGGAAUUUCCAGAGGUAGUGAAGAUAAAUAACAAUACCGGUCACUAAUAGUGUCUGGUAAUUGGAAUGAGAACAAAUUAAAUCCCUUAUCGAUUAACAAUUGGAGGGCAAGUCUGGUGACAGCAGCCGCGGUAACACCAGCUCCAAUAGCGUAUAUUAAAGUUGUUGCAGUUAAAAAGCUCGUAGUUGGAUAUCUGAUUAGGAUGCCUGGCCCGCCUCCUCACGGAGUGUGUGUGCCGGUGCAACCUAAUCAUCCUUCUGGACUAGAUAAGUUGCCUUCACGGGUGAUUUAUUCAAUCUGGAUCUUUUACUUUGAAAAAAUUAGAGUGUUCAAAGCAAGCGUUUGCCGUGAAUACAUUAGCAUGGAAUAAUAAAAUAGGACUUUGGCCUAUUUUGUUGGUUCUAGGACCAAAGUAAUGAUUGAUAGGGAUAGUUGGGGGUGCUUGUAUUGAACGGCCAGAGGCGAAAUUCUUGGAUUCGUUCAAGACAAACUAAUGCGAAAGCAUUCACCAAGGAUGUCUUCUUUAAUCAAGAACGAAAGUUGGGGGAUCGAAGACGAUUAGAUACCGUCGUAGUCUCAACCAUAAACUAUGCCAACUGAGGAUUGGUGAGCAUCGAUUCGAUCUCAUCAGGACUCUACGAGAAAUCAAAGUGUUCGGGUUCUGGGGGGAGUCUGGUCGUAAGGCUGAAACUUAAAGGAAUUGACGGAAGGGCACACCAGGAGUGGAGCCUGCGGCUUAAUUUGACACAACACGGAAAAACUUACCAGGUCCGGAGACGCGAAGGAUUGACAGAUUGCAGAUCUUUCUUGAUUGCGUCGGUGGUGGUGCAUGGUCGUUCUUAGUUGGUGGAGUGAUUUGUCUGGUUAAUUCCGUUAACGAACGAGACCUCAGCCUGCUAAAUAGUCAGAUGUACGCUUCGGUGUACAGUUGCUGACUUCUUAGAGGGACUGUCGGUUUCUAGCCGAAGGAAGCGUGAGGCAAUAACAGGUCUGUGAUGCCCUUAGAUGUUCUGGGCUGCACGCGCGCUACACUGUUGGAUUCAACGAGUAUCACCCUUGAUCGAAAGGUCUGGGUAAUCUUUGAAAAUCCAACGUGAUGGGGAUUGAGUAUUGCAAUUAUUAGUCAUGAACCAGGAAUUCCUAGUAAACGUGAGUCAUCAGCUCACAUUGAUUACGUCCCUGCCCUUUGUACACACCGCCCGUCGCUCCUACCGAUUGAAUGAUAUGGUGAAGUCUUCGGACUGACUGUUUGGGAUGGGCUUCGGUUCAUUUCUUGUGGUCAGGAAGUUGAUUGAACCUUAUCAUUUAGAGGAAGGAGAAGUCGUAACAAGGUU
Molecule: ribosomal RNA, 1700 nt
Filed under: metagenome
Description: SSU rRNA
Rfam family: Eukaryotic small subunit ribosomal RNA
Source: RNAcentral